Molecule: ribosomal RNA, 2521 nt
Filed under: Enterobacter sp. MGH 25
Lineage: Bacteria; Pseudomonadati; Pseudomonadota; Gammaproteobacteria; Enterobacterales; Enterobacteriaceae
Description: bacterial LSU rRNA
Rfam family: Bacterial large subunit ribosomal RNA
Source: RNAcentral
UGGUAUCCUGUCUGAAUAUGGGGGGACCAUCCUCCAAGGCUAAAUACUCCUGACUGACCGAUAGUGAACCAGUACCGUGAGGGAAAGGCGAAAAGAACCCCGGCGAGGGGAGUGAAAAAGAACCUGAAACCGUGUACGUACAAGCAGUGGGAGCCUACUUGUUAGGUGACUGCGUACCUUUUGUAUAAUGGGUCAGCGACUUAUAUUCUGUAGCAAGGUUAACCGUAUAGGGGAGCCGAAGGGAAACCGAGUCUUAACUGGGCGUUAAGUUGCAGGGUAUAGACCCGAAACCCGGUGAUCUAGCCAUGGGCAGGUUGAAGGUUGGGUAACACUAACUGGAGGACCGAACCGACUAAUGUUGAAAAAUUAGCGGAUGACCUGUGGCUGGGGGUGAAAGGCCAAUCAAACCGGGAGAUAGCUGGUUCUCCCCGAAAGCUAUUUAGGUAGCGCCUCGUGAACUCAUCUUCGGGGGUAGAGCACUGUUUCGGCUAGGGGGCCAUCCCGGCUUACCAACCCGAUGCAAACUACGAAUACCGAAGAAUGUUAUCACGGGAGACACACGGCGGGUGCUAACGUCCGUCGUGAAGAGGGAAACAACCCAGACCGCCAGCUAAGGUCCCAAAGUCAUGGUUAAGUGGGAAACGAUGUGGGAAGGCACAGACAGCCAGGAUGUUGGCUUAGAAGCAGCCAUCAUUUAAAGAAAGCGUAAUAGCUCACUGGUCGAGUCGGCCUGCGCGGAAGAUGUAACGGGGCUAAACCAUGCACCGAAGCUGCGGCAGCGACGCUUAUGCGUUGUUGGGUAGGGGAGCGUUCUGUAAGCCGUUGAAGGUGGCCUGUGAGGGUUGCUGGAGGUAUCAGAAGUGCGAAUGCUGACAUAAGUAACGAUAAAGCGGGUGAAAAGCCCGCUCGCCGGAAGACCAAGGGUUCCUGUCCAACGUUAAUCGGGGCAGGGUGAGUCGACCCCUAAGGCGAGGCCGAAAGGCGUAGUCGAUGGGAAACAGGUUAAUAUUCCUGUACUUGGUGUUACUGCGAAGGGGGGACGGAGAAGGCUAUGUUAGCCGGGCGACGGUUGUCCCGGUUUAAGCAUGUAGGCGGAGGUUCCAGGUAAAUCCGGUACCUUUUUAACGCUGAGGUGUGAUGACGAGGCACUACGGUGCUGAAGUAACAAAUGCCCUGCUUCCAGGAAAAGCCUCUAAGCAUCAGGUAACACGAAAUCGUACCCCAAACCGACACAGGUGGUCAGGUAGAGAAUACCAAGGCGCUUGAGAGAACUCGGGUGAAGGAACUAGGCAAAAUGGUGCCGUAACUUCGGGAGAAGGCACGCUGAUAUGUAGGUGAAGCCCCUGCGGGUGGAGCUGAAAUCAGUCGAAGAUACCAGCUGGCUGCAACUGUUUAUUAAAAACACAGCACUGUGCAAACACGAAAGUGGACGUAUACGGUGUGACGCCUGCCCGGUGCCGGAAGGUUAAUUGAUGGGGUUAGCGGUAACGCGAAGCUCUUGAUCGAAGCCCCGGUAAACGGCGGCCGUAACUAUAACGGUCCUAAGGUAGCGAAAUUCCUUGUCGGGUAAGUUCCGACCUGCACGAAUGGCGUAAUGAUGGCCAGGCUGUCUCCACCCGAGACUCAGUGAAAUUGAACUCGCUGUGAAGAUGCAGUGUACCCGCGGCAAGACGGAAAGACCCCGUGAACCUUUACUAUAGCUUGACACUGAACACUGGUCCUUGAUGUGUAGGAUAGGUGGGAGGCUUUGAAGCGUGGACGCCAGUCUGCGUGGAGCCGACCUUGAAAUACCACCCUUUAAUGGCUGGUGUUCUAACGUAGACCCGUGAUCCGGGUUGCGGACAGUGUCUGGUGGGUAGUUUGACUGGGGCGGUCUCCUCCCAAAGAGUAACGGAGGAGCACGAAGGUUAGCUAAUCCUGGUCGGACAUCAGGAGGUUAGUGCAAUGGCAUAAGCUAGCUUGACUGCGAGAGUGACGGCUCGAGCAGGUGCGAAAGCAGGUCAUAGUGAUCCGGUGGUUCUGAAUGGAAGGGCCAUCGCUCAACGGAUAAAAGGUACUCCGGGGAUAACAGGCUGAUACCGCCCAAGAGUUCAUAUCGACGGCGGUGUUUGGCACCUCGAUGUCGGCUCAUCACAUCCUGGGGCUGAAGUAGGUCCCAAGGGUAUGGCUGUUCGCCAUUUAAAGUGGUACGCGAGCUGGGUUUAGAACGUCGUGAGACAGUUCGGUCCCUAUCUGCCGUGGGCGCUGGAGAAUUGAGGGGGGCUGCUCCUAGUACGAGAGGACCGGAGUGGACGCAUCACUGGUGUUCGGGUUGUCAUGCCAAUGGCACUGCCCGGUAGCUAAAUGCGGAAGAGAUAAGUGCUGAAAGCAUCUAAGCACGAAACUUGCCCCGAGAUGAGUUCUCCCUGAGACUUUAAGUCUCCUGAAGGAACGUUGAAGACUACGACGUUGAUAGGUCGGGUGUGUAAGCGCAGCGAUGCGUUGAGCUAACCGAUACUAAUGAACCGUGAGGCUUAACCUU